CCAAUGAACAGUGAGAUCAUGACCUGAGCCGAAGUCGGACAGUUAAACGACUGAGCCUCCCAGGCACCCCGACAAUCAUGGCUGUAACCCAACCUUGCCAUAAAUGUCAACACCUGCCACAUUGUGUCAUAUUUAUUGUCCAGCAAUAUGCUUGGGGCUGGGAAACCUCAGCCCUGCCACAUUCCUCUUGUCCUCAGGGUUUCAUAUCCACUGGUGGUUCCUCUGGUGGAGGAGGUAGACCUCAUGGAGGGCAGACCACAUGGAAUGAUGGGAUACAUAAGUUCUGGGGUGGAUGCUGACAGAAUGGUUCCCUGCCUGUUGGUUCCCCACUAUUGUCCCUCCCCACUUUACACGGCCUGCCCACAGCAAUCAGGAGACUGAGUACGGAGACAGCACUGACCUUGUGGACACUGGGGAAGUUUCUCAUCCAUGUAAACAGUGGGGAUGUGGAGAAGCAAUGCUGGAGAACUUGGCAGUAGUCACACAGGGGCCUCAUGAAGCAAUAUGGGCAAUGGGGAACUAGCAUUAUGUUAAUGGAGACCAAUGGGGAAAAGCAAACUACCAGGAUUUAAUGGAAGGUUUAAUGGAAGGUUCACAGACACUCUUAAUAGGUGAAAGACUGAAGAGAAGUUUACAAUGAUAGACCAGCUAAUAACAUCUACAUUCAACAAUUUUAACAUCACAAAAAGAGAGACAACCAAAUAUGUGCUUCCUGACAUUAUAUAGUAAUUGAUUUCAUUAUAUCAUCUAUUAAGUAUUCUUAACAAAGAAAAGAAAAAUCCAACCUGAAUCUCAUUCAGCCUCUAAAUCUAACAAAUCAUUCACAGGUAAAG
Long non-coding RNA from Leopardus geoffroyi (Geoffroy's cat), 833 nucleotides. RefSeq lists it as uncharacterized. Lineage: Eukaryota; Metazoa; Chordata; Mammalia; Carnivora; Felidae. The record is from RefSeq and is a predicted model, not a curated record. The transcript is spliced from 3 exons.